UCCUCAGUAGCACUGGCCACAUUUCAAGUGGUCACCAUAUUGCACAGUGCAGAGAUAGGAUAUUUCCAAUUUCCAUCAUCCCAAACAGUUCUGUGGGACAGCAUUGUGAGGAAGAACAGAUCCUCCCCAGGUAAGGACCAUAGAGAGGUAUUCCAAUGCCAGGGAGCAACUUGUGCAAAGGCCUAGAAGUGAAAUGCAGUGAGGCCGGAGGAUGGGAGUCCCAAGUGCCAACGUGAGGAGGGGAGUGGUGGUAUUGGAGCUACGGAGGAGCGCAGAACGCAAACGGCAGCUGAAGCCGGUGUACGUGUCUAGGAGCUGGGAUUUUGUCCUGAACAUUUAGGAAGCCUUUGGAGAGUUUUCAGAGGGAGUAGCAAGGUCAGCUUUUCACAGUGGAAUGGACUGGAGGGGAGCAAGUCUGGAAGCCAGAAACCCUUGGGGAGGGAGCAGCUGCCAGCAUCCAGGUGGGGAGAAGAGCUGGCCUGGGAGUUGAACUGGGAGGACCUGGAUUUGGGUUGGCUGUGGGGCCCCAGGGAGAGGGGCUUCUGGCUUGAGUGACAGGGUAGCUGGUGCUGCCCUUGGUAGGGAGCAGCGGGAACCUGGGGGAGGAGGUCGGGUUGGGCUGUGCUGAGUGUAAGGACCCCGAGCCUGGCAGGUAGGUGGGGUGCUUGGUCCCCUGGGGAGAGUUGGAGCUGGAAAUGCUGAGGGGAUAGCCGUCAGCAAAUAGAGGUGGGUGCCCUUCCUGCAAGGGCUGAGGUCCCAGGAGAGUCCUCAGAAGACAGAAUUGGAGCCCUGGGAACCCAGCUGAGUUAGUGGCCAAAGAGAAGGAGCCAGAGGGCCAGAGAAGCGUGAGGGAGGCCAGAUGUCCCUCCAGAGGUGCACAUGUGGUUGUGGCUCCCUCUCCGGGGGUGGGGGCUGAAGCUGCCAGUCUAGGCAGGGUUCCUGGAGAAGAUGGGACAGUACCUGGGCACUGAGGAGACCUGGCUUAGAGAGGAAGGGAACUCAGGACAGCAGGGACACCCUGGGACUUCUAAGGUUGGGUUACAAAAUGCAGGGCAGUUUCCACUGUAUCUGCUGGGACACUCACUCUUGGAGCUCUGAGCUAACCUGUCAGCAGUCUUCCCAGGACCAAGGCCACAGUGCUAUGGCCUGAGGCCACCCAGGGCAGUGAAUGGGCCCUGCGUGGAUAUUCCGCCCAACAGUCCCGGCCUAUGCCCAGCCCAGUCAGCAGUGAUUGCCAGACACGUGAGUAAUGAACCUCUGGAUUAUUCCAGACCCUAGAGGUUUUCACCCCCAGCCACUGAGGGCCCAGACAUCAUGGAGCAAGGGACAAGCUGUUCCUUCUCUUGCCUGUCGGAAUGCCUGACCUACAGAACCCAUAAGCAUAAUAAAAUGGUCAUUGUUUUACACAAUCACAUCUUGGGGAGGUUUGUUGUGCAAUGAUAGUAAUAACAGGAACAGACAAGAAGCAAACAGGCGAGGCUGUGGGCGUGUGGCAGGGACACGGAGAGACGACUGGACUGGAUACUGGGGGGAGGGCGAGCUUUAUCCUGCAGCCAGCAGGUUAGGGAGAGGAGAUGGGGUGGGCUGAGCAGGGCGGAUGCUCUGGAAGUGGGGUUUUGGAAUCUAGACAUAAAUGUCAGAGAUGGUUCUGACCUGGGAGAUGACCCCAAGGGUGGCUUCAGAAAGGUCCUGGUGGGAGCAACAGCAAGAAGGCUUUGGUGUCUUACCGUUUUGUGUUACAAUUUCCCUAAUCAGCUCUCUCUGGGCCUCAGUUGGCUAAUCUGGAAAAAGGGAGUACACAGUCCUCCCUGGCACAGGGUAAAUGCAACCUAAAUGGGGCCGCCCUUCCUUUUAUCACCUUUUUUUUCCUCUCUUAUUUCUUACUGUCUUAACAAGAGAUGCUCACAUGCGUAUAGACUCAAUCGUUGAUAAACACAUUCAAGGGCAAGGUUAUUUGCCCUAUUUUAUAAACACAGAAAAUGAAAUGCAGAGGGGCUGGGAAUAUCCCAAAGCCUCAGAGGUCUGGAGGCUUCAGCGUGUAUUUCUCUGUAACUUUCCUCCCCUGGAUAGAAGCAGGGAGGAGUGGAGGGCAGGCUGAUGCCCCAGCAGGUCCCAGAGGGCCUGGGCAAGGCUGCCAGCUUUGGAUUAAGCAUUCCUCCCCAGCCCUGCUCCAGCCCCAGCCUUGGCAACUACUUGAACUCUGGAGUCCCAGACAAAUUGUAGCCCCAAGAGUGAAAGCAACUGUGGGGAGCUUACAAAUGUGGGAGGCUCAGCUCUCCCCUCCCCUGCUUCCUCUCCUAAAGGCUGCCUCUGGGUAGGUCAGGGCAGAGCAGCCACUGAGGAACUUCCACCGGGGCCUCCAUACACACCAGGGCCUCCUGGGGUCCUUGCUAUCCGGAGCCCUGAGAGCCCUGAGAGCCCUGGAUAUGCCACCUGGACCCCAGCUCCCCUCCUCCUGCAGCCCUCCUCAGCAUCUGGUGCCUUCUCCGAAUGCCUUGCUGUUGCUCCUAGCAACCAAGCACCCAGCCCCAUCCUGCUCUUCCUUCCUCCUCCCUCCCUUCUUUUCCUCUUCCUCCUCCUUCUGCUUCCUCAUUCCCAUCCUUCCUGCUUCCCCCCACCUGUAGAGAUGGUGCUGGAAGGCUCCCCUCCAACCCCGAGCCAGCUGGGCAACCCAGCCAAGCCCCCUGGCCUUUCUGGGUUGCUAAUCAGCCAAUGAUCACAGUCUGUACUUUCUGCCUGCCUGAGGGAGUGGGUACUGCAACUCCAGGACCCAGACCAUGUUCCUGGGAAGACUGUCAGGCCGGGCUCUCAGUGCACCCCAGGCACAAAGCCGAUGACUAUAGAGAAGAGAGUAGACUUAACAGUUAAAGGGAAUUUCUCCUUCUCAGUGCUGUUUGAGGUAGUGAGCUUCCCAGAGUUGGAGGCAUCCAAGAAGAGGCAUUUCCUGUGCUGGUAUGGUGCAGGGCAGUGAGCCCUCACUUGGACGGGCUUGAGAAGGAAGUCAGGGAGGGCUCACCCAUGUUUUCCCCCACUCUCCUUUUUAUCCUCAUUUCCUUUCCCCCAACCCCUGACUUGCCAGAACCCUUUAGUGACUCAGCCACUCCCUGGCCCCUGCCCUCCCAGAAACUCCGCCUUUCUCAGCAGGACCCCAGAGAGGGCAGAUGGCACUAAGGUGGGGUUUCCCAGGCAGGUCAUCCACCCACAGGGCAAGCCCCAGGCUCAGCACAGCUGCUUCAGAGGGGACACCCCAGGGGCCCCAUGGAGCCGGGCGGUAUGCACCCAACCCCCCACCCCCCACCAUGGCCCUAAACACCCAGCCUCCCCGCCAGCCUCCUCAGAUCAACAUCCAUGGCCAACCUGAGGCCCAGGCCCCUCAUCACCUCCCUGGGGUCGCAUCCCGCUGCUGCCCGCGUAACCCAUGCUCCAGCCAUACCAAACUCACCAUGUACUUGGCCUGUUCUUACUCUUCUCUCCCUGCCUGGAAAGGCUCUUCUCUGCCCUUUGACUCUGCUCAGAGGUCACCUCCCUCAGGAAGCCUGCCCUGACAGCCCCUCCACUCUGCCUCUGCUGGGGUACCCAGCCCUCUGCUUGCUGCCUUACAGCUCCUUCUCCCACUGAGUGCCCACUACCUGUUCCCGCUUUGUCUUUCUCAUUGGGCCUCAGUUUCCCUCUUCUCCGAUGUGAGAGGGACAGGCCCAGGGUCUUUGAGGAUCCUCUGGCUGCUGAGGGCGACUAAGCCUGGGCUGUUAGAUAGCCAAAGAGGACAGCCUGCGUCAGCUUUGCCCGCCUCACCCUCCACCCCAUCCCCUCUGAGUUUCAGGACCUGGGUGUGACUCACUCACUGUCCGGCCCUCGCUCAGUCCUUCUCCGAGGCCUCAGUGCCUCAUCUGCUAAAUGGGAAGAAUAACUGCUGACACCUGCCUCUUCAGGCCCCGUGAAUCCUGAGGCUGGCAGACCAAACAUCUCUGACAGCAUCAGCCAUAACCCAGGCUGACACAGGGAACAGCUCUGGCUUGGCCGCCGCCCCCUUCCGGACAGCCCAGGCCUUGGGCUCAGGGGUCCCUGGGGCUCUGCUGCCCUCCAGUGGCUGGAGGCCCCUGGGCACUUAGAACCGGUGAGCUUCUGGCUAAUUCAUCUGGCAUCUGACUCAACCUAAGACAGAGGGAGACGCCAAGGCCCAGAGGUGGAAGGGACCUGUUGUUGUUGGAGGUCAAGCAGCAAGUCGGGGGCAGUUUCUGGACCAGAACCUGGACCUCCUGGCUCCCAGCACUUCCAAGCCCAGGGCGGGUCUGUUCCUCUUGCAUCAGACUGACAGAAGAGGGAGCCGCUACCUCACCUGCCCAAACUGCCUCACCCGGGGCGCAGUGGGGGGGACCCCAAGUGUGGUUGGCUCCACCCUGCCAGUCUCUCUGAAAAGGGUUCGUCCUGCCGACCCAGGGGUCAUCCCCAACUGGGGCUGGGGGUGGCCUGUAACCGCUGGGAGGGGUGCCUUAACCCCCUCCCUCUUGAUUAAUCAAAUACUUAAAAUAAUGGCCUCAGUCAUGAUUGAUGGACAGAGCAUAGCUAAUUACCCUGGAGAUUAAAAUGACUGUUUCUGUUUAAAAAGGCUGCAAAUGAGUUAAUUAUUUCCUUUGCUCACCUCUCUAACCUCGUUACACUUCUAAAUGAAUAGCAAUAUUGAUCUUGGAACUGAUUUUGGUGUUACACCGCCCGAGCGGGUUUAAUUAGGGUUUGAAAAUGCUGCAGUGCCUCCUCCUUCUGACCGAGGAAAUUAGCCUUGGGUUUUACUUACAUUUCACAGCCGUGUCCUCACAGACAGAAGGGCUGGAACACCGGACAGUGAUGCCUGAUGCCCGCCAGCCCCUGUCCUGCCCUGGCUCCCAGCACCCUCCCACCCAGAGCAGCACUAACCAUCUCCUGCCUGUCGCCUCUCAGGAAGAUGUGGCAGCAAGGUCAUUGGAGUCAGCUAGUUUAGCCUCUUCUGGUCACACUUGGGGGCUUGGGGGUUCAGACAUGAGAAGGAAGGGCCUGGCAUCACUUAGUGAGGUGGGGGCACGUCUGGGACCAGAAACUCUCACGAAUUCCCAGCUCUAGACCUUGAUGGCUCCCUGGCUAAAUAAAUACAUCUUCUCUAGAUCCCUAAAGAGCCCCCGUUUUCAGCUCUCCUAGGACCACAUGGAACAAAGGCUGCCAGCAGGAAUGAAGGUCGGAAACACAGGAGGAGCAGGGGCAGGGGACCAGGAGCCCUACCCUGGUUGAUUAUGAUAUGUUGCUACAGGCAAGACAGCCAGGGGGCUGUGGGACAAAAGCAGCACUGCAUUCAAGCCAUGGGGACAGUAGGAGCCCAGCGUUCAUAGCUGAUCUGCCCAGGGAAAUCUAGGGGCCAGGUCAUGUGCCCGACCUGAUCAGCAAGGAAGGGAUGUAGAUUUGAGAAUGAGAGACUCCUGACUGAACCUGACCCCAGUCCCAGACGAGUCCUGCUCAUACACCGAGUCCUGACCCUUCUCACACAUGGAGCCCCGAACCUGGAAACAUACUGUGCCCCCACCUUGGUCACACAUGGAACUCCGACCCUGGUCAUGUGGAGCCCAAACCUGAUCAGACUCAGAGCCCUGACCCUGGGCACAUGUGGAGACACCACCUUGGUCACACUAAGAGCUUUGAACCUGGAGUCCAGACUUGGGCACACACAGAGGCCUGACUCCGCACACCCUGAGCCCUUACUUACCCUGGUCAGACAUUGAGCCCUGACUCUCCUCACAGAUGGAGCCCUGACCUCCUCCUGCACUGAGCCUCAACUCUGCUGCGACACUGAACCCUAACCUCCUCACACGGAGCCCCCACCCUGGUCACACAUGGAGCCCCUGCCCUGGAGCCCUGACCCAGUAACAAACAGAGCCCCUGGUCUCCUCACACACGGAGCCCUGAUCCUCUUCACAAAUGACGUCCCAACCUUCUUCACACACAGACCCCUGACCCUCCUCACACAUGGAGCCCCGGCCUUCUCAAAUCUGAAGCCUUGACUCUCCUCACACAUGGAGCCCCAAGCCGCCUCACAUGGAGACCCCACCCUGGUCACACGUGGAUCCUGGACCCUGGUCACAGAUGGAGCCCUGACCCUCCACGCAUGGAGCCCCCA
RNAcentral lists this long non-coding RNA (6139 nucleotides) under Sus scrofa (pig). Its description in RNAcentral is "lncRNA (ENSSSCG00000052321.1)". The record is from RNAcentral. Lineage: Eukaryota; Metazoa; Chordata; Mammalia; Artiodactyla; Suidae.